This 72-nucleotide transfer RNA is filed under the name Enneapterygius etheostoma. Its description in RNAcentral is "tRNA-Thr". It matches the Rfam family "tRNA". From Rfam's summary of the family: Transfer RNA (tRNA) molecules are approximately 80 nucleotides in length. Their secondary structure includes four short double-helical elements and three loops (D, anti-codon, and T loops). Further hydrogen bonds mediate the characteristic L-shaped molecular structure. tRNAs have two regions of fundamental functional importance: the anti-codon, which is responsible for specific mRNA codon recognition, and the 3' end, to which the tRNAs corresponding amino acid is attached (by aminoacyl-tRNA synthetases). tRNAs cope with the degeneracy of the genetic code in two manners: having more than one tRNA (with a specific anti-codon) for a particular amino acid; and 'wobble' base-pairing, i.e. permitting non-standard base-pairing at the 3rd anti-codon position. The record is from RNAcentral. Lineage: Eukaryota; Metazoa; Chordata; Actinopteri; Blenniiformes; Tripterygiidae.
GCAGUAGUAGCUCAGAGUUAGAGCGCCAGCCUUGUAAGUUGGUGGCCGAAGGUUAAACCCCUUCCUGCUGCC